This 453-nucleotide ribosomal RNA is filed under the name uncultured bacterium. RNAcentral describes it as "bacterial SSU rRNA". It matches the Rfam family "Bacterial small subunit ribosomal RNA", at positions 340 to 786 of the family's 1533-position model. The record is from RNAcentral.
UACGGGAGGCAGCAGUGGGGAAUAUUGCACAAUGGGCGCAAGCCUGAUGCAGCCAUGCCGCGUGUAUGAAGAAGGCCUUCGGGUUGUAAAGUACUUUCAGUCGUGAGGAAGGUGUUAAGGUUAAUAACCUUAGCAAUUGACGUUAGCGACAGAAGAAGCACCGGCUAACUCCGUGCCAGCAGCCGCGGUAAUACGGAGGGUGCGAGCGUUAAUCGGAAUUACUGGGCGUAAAGGGCACGCAGGCGGUUAAUUAAGUUGGAUGUGAAAUCCCCGGGCUUAACCUGGGAAUGGCAUUCAGGACUGGUUAGCUAGAGUCUUGUAGAGGGGGUAGAAUUCCAUGUGUAGCGGUGAAAUGCGUAGAGAUGUGGAGGAAUACCGGUGGCGAAGGCGGCCCCUGGACAAAGACUGACGCUCAUGUGCGAAAGCGUGGGGAGCAAACAGGGAUUAGAUACC